GUUUGAUCCUGGCUCAGAUUGAACGCUGGCGGCAUGCCUUACACAUGCAAGUCGAACGGUAACGCGGGGCAACCUGGCGACGAGUGGCGAACGGGUGAGUAAAGCAUCGGAACGUGCCCGUAGUGGGGGAUAGCCCGGCGAAAGCCGGAUUAAUACCGCAUAAGACCUGAGGGUGAAAGCGGGGGACUCGCAAGAGCCUCGCGCUAACGGAGCGGCCGAUGUCAGAUUAGGUAGUUGGUGGGGUAAAGGCCUACCAAGCCGACGAUCUGUAGCUGGUCUGAGAGGACGACCAGCCACACUGGGACUGAGACACGGCCCAGACUCCUACGGGAGGCAGCAGUGGGGAAUUUUGGACAAUGGGGGCAACCCUGAUCCAGCCAUGCCGCGUGCGGGAAGAAGGCCUUCGGGUUGUAAACCGCUUUUGUCAGGGAAGAAAUCUUCUGGGUUAAUACCUCGGGAGGAUGACGGUACCUGAAGAAUAAGCACCGGCUAACUACGUGCCAGCAGCCGCGGUAAUACGUAGGGUGCGAGCGUUAAUCGGAAUUACUGGGCGUAAAGCGUGCGCAGGCGGUUGUGCAAGACAGAUGUGAAAUCCCCGGGCUUAACCUG
Molecule: ribosomal RNA, 609 nt
Filed under: uncultured bacterium
Lineage: Bacteria
Description: bacterial SSU rRNA
Rfam family: Bacterial small subunit ribosomal RNA
Source: RNAcentral